This 601-nucleotide long non-coding RNA is filed under the name Mytilus galloprovincialis (Mediterranean mussel). Lineage: Eukaryota; Metazoa; Mollusca; Bivalvia; Mytilida; Mytilidae. The record is from RNAcentral.
UGUUAUGCAUGCUUUCCUUUGUUCUGUAACAUUUUGGCGGGAAUGUCAAAUCCACUAUAAAACUUAUAAUUAAUUAUACGGAAAAGACUAUCUAUCAAAAUUCGCGUAGAAAAAAUCCAGUGUAUAUGCUGGGAUUCGAACUCAAGACCUUUAGCAUAUCAAGCCACGACACAUACCACUACACCAGGAGGACUGGAUACGAACUCACAGUAAUCUAACAUACUUAAAAGAAGCAAGAUCUUUUUAUAAGUGGGGCGAGUUUGCAGACCUUUAUUCAGUGGGGUUUAAACCUUUUUCGUUAAUAAGUGAGUUAUCAGACUGAUUGUUCAAUUUGAUUUUACACUUUUUCAAAAGUGGGGCGAGUCAGUAAACAAGAGUACGGCGAUUCUUUUAUAAAGUGGCGAUAUAGUGUGGGCCGAUAGGCAAGUGGGGCGAGUUGACAUUGUUUGAUAUCUACUCAUCGUGUUCGGGGGUCAUAAAGGGUAUACAUCAUAUAGUAAUAUAUAAAGUAUAUUAUAAUGGUUGUGUGGCGUUCUAAACUAGAUUUUAUAAAUUGCAAAUGUUUUUUCGUCCAAUCUAAAAGAGCUUGGAUGUAAAAUAG